RNAcentral lists this ribosomal RNA (460 nucleotides) under uncultured Alistipes sp. RNAcentral describes it as "bacterial SSU rRNA". It matches the Rfam family "Bacterial small subunit ribosomal RNA", at positions 338 to 795 of the family's 1533-position model. The record is from RNAcentral. Lineage: Bacteria; Pseudomonadati; Bacteroidota; Bacteroidia; Bacteroidales; Rikenellaceae.
CCUACGGGUGGCUGCAGUGAGGAAUAUUGGUCAAUGGACGCAAGUCUGAACCAGCCAUGCCGCGUGCAGGAAGACGGCUCUAUGAGUUGUAAACUGCUUUUGUACGAGGGUAAACGCAGAUACGCGUAUCUGUCUGAAAGUAUCGUACGAAUAAGGAUCGGCUAACUCCGUGCCAGCAGCCGCGGUAAUACGGAGGAUUCAAGCGUUAUCCGGAUUUAUUGGGUUUAAAGGGUGCGUAGGCGGUCGGAUAAGUUAGAGGUGAAAUCCCGGGGCUCAACUUCGGAAUUGCCUCUGAUACUGUUCGGCUAGAGAGUAGUUGCGGUAGGCGGAAUGUAUGGCGUAGCGGUGAAAUGCUUAGAGAUCAUACAGAACACCGAUUGCGAAGGCAGCUUACCAAGCUACUGCUGACGUUGAGGCACGAAAGCGUGGGGAGCAAACAGAAUUAGAUACCCCGGUAGUC